UAGACAGAGAGAUAUGACCAGACUUGUGUUUUAGAAGAAUGGCUUUGGCAGCUGUAUGAGCAAAGCGUUGUCAGGAAGGAAGAACAAAUGCAGGGAGACAAGAUAAGAAGCUGCUGCAAUAGUCCAGGUAAAAGGUUAUGGAGAAUAAUGUAUCAUUUCCCAAAACUUAUUUGCAUAGCAUAUUUGUUAAAAAAAAAAAAAGAAAGAAAGAAAUAGUCUUAUCUUGUCUUAAGAGGCUUCCUAGCUAGAGUGAAAGUUGCCUCCGGAUCAAGAUCUUCCUGUUUGGAAGAACCAGCAAAAGUCUGCAGCUUAGCUUGCCUUGGGACUCACUCCCAGCCACUCCUUAAAUCUGAACCUGACAUCAGGUUCCAGCUUUUAGUUCUUGCCAAUCACCUGGUUUAUCAAAGCUUACAGGGUCUGUGACGUGCCGCUUUGUUUUUCUACAGCAUUUAUAACUUCCUGGAGUCUGCUUGGAGCAACUGCUUUGCCUUGCCUUGCCUUCCAAUACUCAAGCUCUUCAGCAGCCUCGCUGAGGUUGCCUGCCUGCAGAGCACAUGCUGUCCCAGCAGUGGUCCAGUUGGGAGGGGCUGGAGAGGUGCUAAGCCAAGAGGAUCCAGGGAGAGCAGAGGCAGCUCAACAAGAAGGGGUGUUAAGGGCCUUGCUCAGAAGCAGCCUGGCUCCGAGGAGCACAGAGCGGUUUGGCUGGAAGGUCUCUAACCUGAACGAUGGAAAAUUAGAGGAAAGGAGCAAGAGUGUUCAGAAGGUGAUCAGUGGUCUCCCAGAGAGUAAAGAAUUCAAAUAUUGUUUCUUUUCCUCGCCUCAUUCUUUCCUGGUAUCUCCGGGAUUUGUAGUUGAAUGAAGAAAGGAUUUCAUCCAGUUAUCUCUUAAACUUUCCAGGAAACAUAUAAAAGCUGGCAUCCUGUAGACUCCCACAUUCGCAUAAGUAAUUCUUACUUUGCCAGUCACCUAGGAAACAAUGUCACUUACCGCUACCCCCUCCUAGGUCACAUCCAUAUUCCAAGCCAUUGAUUCUUCUUUUCACUUGUUCCCUGUUUCAGAGUCAUCCAUCCAGAGGGUUUAUAGCAGUGGAUGUCUUCCAACCUUUUCUUAGUAUCAUUUAUAAACUCAAGAUCCUUCUUAUCUUCUUACCUUGAAAAAUAUGCUUAGCAGUAAAGUGGUUGCUCAAUAUUUUUUUCUAUCCAGAGUUCCUCAUUUCCAAGCUCAAGAUAUUGUGAUCACUUGCUAGUAUUAUUUGACAUUUUAUUGAAAAUUUUCCUUUCAAUAAACACUGGGCAAUUAUUAUAGUAAUGUUUAUCACUGGGAAAAUAUGCUGUGCCCCUGCUGCCUCCUUGAUUUAAUUUGAUGUGAUGUAGAUGGGAGCACGCUGCAUGGAUGCUUCGAUGUAGUGGACUAGAAAAACAGUGGACUAGAAAAAAACAAUGGAAUUAGGGAAACUAUUGGGUUUAUUUGUCAUUUCAGUCUCCCCUGGAUACUCAAAAACCUCUGUGGAACAAGAAAAUUAACACUCUUAUACAUUGUCCACUGAAAUCUAGCAGUAUCUCCCAAUGGAAUGUGAUAAUCCAAGUAUAAAACUUGUCUUAGAGAGUUUCAUCUAUAUUGUUAUUUUUA
Molecule: long non-coding RNA, 1629 nt
Organism: Macaca fascicularis (crab-eating macaque)
Lineage: Eukaryota; Metazoa; Chordata; Mammalia; Primates; Cercopithecidae
Source: Ensembl